ACUCCUACGGGAGGCAGCAGUGGGGAAUAUUGCACAAUGGGCGCAAGCCUGAUGCAGCCAUGCCGCGUGUGUGAAGAAGGCCUUCGGGUUGUAAAGCACUUUCAGUCGUGAGGAAGGUAGUGUAGUUAAUAGCUGCAUUAUUUGACGUUAGCGACAGAAGAAGCACCGGCUAACUCCGUGCCAGCAGCCGCGGUAAUACGGAGGGGUGCGAGCGUUAAUCGGAAUUACUGGGCGUAAAGCGCAUGCAGGUGGUUUGUUAAGUCAGAUGUGAAAGCCCGGGGCUCAACCUCGGAAUAGCAUUUGAAACUGGCAGACUAGAGUACUGUAGAGGGGGUAGAAUUUCAGGUGUAGCGGUGAAAUGCGUAGAGAUCUGAAGGAAUACCGGUGGCGAAGGCGGCCCCCUGGACAGAUACUGACACUUAGAUGCGAAAGCGUGGGGAGCAAACAGGAUUAGAUACCCUGGUAGGAUAGCG
RNAcentral lists this ribosomal RNA (473 nucleotides) under uncultured bacterium. Its description in RNAcentral is "bacterial SSU rRNA". It matches the Rfam family "Bacterial small subunit ribosomal RNA", at positions 335 to 799 of the family's 1533-position model. The record is from RNAcentral.